This 871-nucleotide ribosomal RNA is filed under the name Halomonas sp. RNAcentral's name for it is "bacterial SSU rRNA". It matches the Rfam family "Bacterial small subunit ribosomal RNA", at positions 89 to 963 of the family's 1533-position model. Lineage: Bacteria; Pseudomonadati; Pseudomonadota; Gammaproteobacteria; Oceanospirillales; Halomonadaceae. The record is from RNAcentral.
AGAUGAGCGGCGGACGGGUGAGUAAUGCAUAGGAAUCUACCCAGUAGUGGGGGAUAACCUGGGGAAACCCAGGCUAAUACCGCAUACGUCCUACGGGAGAAAGGGGGCUUUGGCUCCCGCUAUCGGAUGAGCCUAUGCCGGAUUAGCUGGUUGGUGAGGUAACGGCUCACCAAGGCGACGAUCCGUAGCUGGUCUGAGAGGAUGAUCAGCCACAUCGGGACUGAGACACGGCCCGAACUCCUACGGGAGGCAGCAGUGGGGAAUAUUGGACAAUGGGGGCAACCCUGAUCCAGCCAUGCCGCGUGUGUGAAGAAGGCCCUCGGGUUGUAAAGCACUUUCAGCGAGGAAGAACGCCUAUCGGUUAAUACCCGUUAGGAAAGACAUCACUCGCAGAAGAAGCACCGGCUAACUCCGUGCCAGCAGCCGCGGUAAUACGGAGGGUGCAAGCGUUAAUCGGAAUUACUGGGCGUAAAGCGCGCGUAGGUGGCUUGAUAAGCCGGUUGUGAAAGCCCCGGGCUCAACCUGGGAACGGCAUCCGGAACUAUCAGGCUAGAGUGCAGGAGAGGAAGGUAGAAUUCCCGGUGUAGCGGUGAAAUGCGUAGAGAUCGGGAGGAAUACCAGUGGCGAAGGCGGCCUUCUGGACUGACACUGACACUGAGGUGCGAAAGCGUGGGUAGCAAACAGGAUUAGAUACCCUGGUAGUCCACGCCGUAAACGAUGUCGACCAGCCGUUGGGUGCCUAGCGCACUUUGUGGCGAAGUUAACGCGAUAAGUCGACCGCCUGGGGAGUACGGCCGCAAGGUUAAAACUCAAAUGAAUUGACGGGGGCCCGCACAAGCGGUGGAGCAUGUGGUUUAAUUCGAUGCAACGG